CGGUCUCGAGAGUCAGGGUGGGUUCGUUCUCCUCGGCCGAGACGAUCUGGCGGAUCUUGUCCGCCGGGAUCAGC
This 74-nucleotide transfer RNA is filed under the name Phycisphaerales bacterium. RNAcentral describes it as "tRNA-Pro". The record is from RNAcentral. Lineage: Bacteria; Pseudomonadati; Planctomycetota; Phycisphaerae; Phycisphaerales.